CUAUACAGUGAAACUGCGAAUGGCUCAUUAAAUCAGUUAUCGUUUAUUUGAUAGUACCUUACUACUUGGAUAACCGUGGUAAUUCUAGAGCUAAUACAUGCUAAAAACCCCGACUUCGGAAGGGGUGUAUUUAUUAGAUAAAAAACCAAUGCUCUUCGGGGCUCCUUGGUGAUUCAUAAUAACUUAACGAAUCGCAUGGCCUUGUGCCGGCGAUGGUUCAUUCAAAUUUCUGCCCUAUCAACUUUCGAUGGUAGGAUAGUGGCCUACCAUGGUUUCAACGGGUAACGGGGAAUUAGGGUUCUAUUCCGGAGAGGGAGCCUGAGAAACGGCUACCACAUCCAAGGAAGGCAGCAGGCGCGCAAAUUACCCAAUCCCGACACGGGGAGGUAGUGACAAUAAAUACUGAUACAGGGCUCUUUUGAGUCUUGUAAUUGGAAUGAGUACAAUUUAAAUCCCUUAACGAGGAACAAUUGGAGGGCAAGUCUGGUGCCAGCAGCCGCGGUAAUUCCAGCUCCAAUAGCGUAUAUUAAAGUUGUUGCAGUUAAAAAGCUCGUAGUUGAACCUUGGGACCUGGCUGGCCG
This 581-nucleotide ribosomal RNA is filed under the name Ascomycota sp. ROV11Q1FRB-01. Its description in RNAcentral is "SSU rRNA". It matches the Rfam family "Eukaryotic small subunit ribosomal RNA", at positions 74 to 658 of the family's 1831-position model. The record is from RNAcentral. Lineage: Eukaryota; Fungi; Ascomycota.